Zingiber officinale is the source of this 1467-nucleotide long non-coding RNA. RefSeq lists it as uncharacterized. Lineage: Eukaryota; Viridiplantae; Streptophyta; Magnoliopsida; Zingiberales; Zingiberaceae. The transcript has 3 exons. The record is from RefSeq and is a predicted model, not a curated record.
UCUAUCGUAUAUCAUCGCGACGCCAUCACCACUUUCCUCCUCACCUCAUCUCCCUCUUCCCCUUCCUAGAUCUACGAAAGAUGACAUCUUUUUCGUGGACGGAGGAGGAUGUGCUGCGGUAGCAAGCAUUUCGCCAAGGAGCUCGCCUCCGCCUCGCCAUUUUCUGACCUCCACCACGCAAUCCAAUCUGCCCGUGGGAUUUGGUUCAACAAGACCUCCCUACGCGUCUUCCGCCGCCCCCUUCUUCUUGUAGCCGCAGCAGAUUCAUUGUGACCCCAUCAUCGAACACUUCCUCCUCCUUCUGCCUCAUCACCGCAGAGCGCGCCAUUGGACGCGGAGGUAGAGACACCGUUUCAGCGGGCUUCAUCAUGCUCUGCCCUCCUAUUUCCAUCAUUCGCCCACUGCUCGGCACGAUGUGGUCGGACAAAGUAUACGGAUUCACAAGCGAUUGAAUUGGAUUACCUGUAGGAAAAUUUCCGGACGCCAUGGUCGAGUCGGGGAAGUAAUUCACGAAGCCAGCGGGCGCCUUGCCUUUUUGCCAAGAGUAGGAGUCGGUGCUAUCCGCGAAAUUGCGGAAGUAGGAAGUCACCGGUGAGUUGUUCGACGAAAUGUCACCGUGUUCCAGGCGGUAGAUCGAGAAGGCACUCCUGCUCAGGUUGCUGUGAUCGUUCUCCUGCGUGUGAUGUGAGAAUGAAUUUAUGUUUCCAGGCACGGAUUUUAGAUUCGGAAGUGAGGUGAGGAAGCUUGGCUCGGGGGCCGGCGGCAGCAUAUGCUCUUGUUGCUGAGUCUGGAAGAGAUUCGUCGGCGUCUUCAUCACCAGACCGGAGAAGUACGAGGGCAAGGGAGUGAUUGCGGUGGAAUUCAUCAACCCCGCCUUCUGCAGCAAGGUUGACCCGGAUGAGGAUCCGGAGAUCACUGGAGCUUGGAAUUGCUGGCUUGUGUUGUUGUUCAUGAAAGAUAAGCUUCCGAGCAUUGGGAUGGCGGUGCUGGGGUUACUCUUCUGCCCAGUCUCAGUUAGGGAGGCCGAUGUGUUAUCCAAGAAAUCAUUUUUAGCUGUGGAAUUUGCUUGGACAGAUGCCUUUUCCCCUGUUCCAUAGAGACACAUGUUUGUCAAAGAACGAUUUGUCGACCCAAAUCCAGCCGAUUUCUCUGUCGAAUUCAUCAAGGAAAUGGAAGAACCCAGAUAGAAAUCGAUGGCCGAGCCAUUCUCUACUCUCAAUCCGUCGAUGUUAUGAGCCGAUUUCUUGCGGCCGGACUUCUUGAGCUCGUAGUUGAUGUUAUGAGUGCGCAUGUGGAGCUGCAGAUUCUGGUCGCGCUGGAAGCCCUUGCCGCACACUGUGCAAAUGUACCGACCGGUGGCCAGUGGAUCCUCCGGCCGUAGCGCCACCACCUCUGCACUAGGAUCUGUUUACAAAUCUCAAGUACUCCAGAGUUGAAAUUGAUGAAGUGCGGUUCGAGUGGGCUGAA